RNAcentral lists this ribosomal RNA (781 nucleotides) under Limosilactobacillus fermentum. RNAcentral describes it as "bacterial SSU rRNA". It matches the Rfam family "Bacterial small subunit ribosomal RNA", at positions 51 to 789 of the family's 1533-position model. The record is from RNAcentral. Lineage: Bacteria; Bacillati; Bacillota; Bacilli; Lactobacillales; Lactobacillaceae.
AUACAUGCAAGUCGACGCGUUGGCCCAAUUGAUUGAUGGUGCUUGCACCUGAUUGAUUUUGGUYGCCAACGAGUGGCGGACGGGUGAGUAACACGUAGGUAACCUGCCCAGAAGCGGGGGACAACAUUUGGAAACAGAUGCUAAUACCGCAUAACARCGUUGUUCGCAUGAACAACGCUUAAAAGAUGGCUUCUCGCUAUCACUUCUGGAUGGACCUGCGGUGCAUUAGCUUGUUGGUGGGGUAAYGGCCUACCAAGGCGAUGAUGCAUAGCCGAGUUGAGAGACUGAUCGGCCACAAUGGGACUGAGACACGGCCCAUACUCCUACGGGAGGCAGCAGUAGGGAAUCUUCCACAAUGGGCGCAAGCCUGAUGGAGCAACACCGCGUGAGUGAAGAAGGGUUUCGGCUCGUAAAGCUCUGUUGUUAAAGAAGAACACGUAUGAGAGUAACUGUUCAUACGUUGACGGUAUUUAACCAGAAAGUCACGGCUAACUACGUGCCAGCAGCCGCGGUAAUACGUAGGUGGCAAGCGUUAUCCGGAUUUAUUGGGCGUAAAGAGAGUGCAGGCGGUUUUCUAAGUCUGAUGUGAAAGCCUUCGGCUUAACCGGAGAAGUGCAUCGGAAACUGGAUAACUUGAGUGCAGAAGAGGGUAGUGGAACUCCAUGUGUAGCGGUGGAAUGCGUAGAUAUAUGGAAGAACACCAGUGGCGAAGGCGGCUACCUGGUCUGCAACUGACGCUGAGACUCGAAAGCAUGGGUAGCGAACAGGAUUAGAUACCCUG